This 247-nucleotide ribosomal RNA is filed under the name uncultured bacterium. RNAcentral describes it as "partial 16S ribosomal RNA". It matches the Rfam family "Bacterial small subunit ribosomal RNA", at positions 523 to 769 of the family's 1533-position model. The record is from RNAcentral.
AUACGAAGGUGGCGAAUGUUACUCGGAUUCACUGGGCGUAAAGCGUCCGCAGGUGGUUUGUUAAGUCAGAUGUGAAAGCCCCGCGCUCAACGUGGGAAUUGCAUUUGAAACUAGCUGACUAGAAGGCAGGAGAGGUAGGCGGAAUAUCUGGUGUAGAGGUGAAAUUCGUAGAUAUCAGAUGGAACAUCCAUGGCGAAGGCAGCUUACUGGCCUGUACUUGACACUCAGGGACGAAAGCGUGGGGAGC